AUACGGAGGGUGCAAGCGUUACUCGGAAUCACUGGGCGUAAAGCGCGCGCAGGCGGCUAUUUAAGUUGGAUGUGAAAGCCUAUGGCUCAACCAUAGAACUGCAUCCAAAACUAUUUAGCUAGAGUGUGGGAGAGGAAGAUGGAAUUAGUUGUGUAGGGGUAAAAUCCGUAGAGAUAACUAGGAAUACCAAAAGCGAAGGCAAUCUUCUGGAACACUACUGCCGCUGAGGCGCGAAAGCGUGGGGAGCAAACAGGAUUAGAUACCCUAGUAGUCC
Molecule: ribosomal RNA, 274 nt
Filed under: uncultured bacterium
Lineage: Bacteria
Description: partial 16S ribosomal RNA
Rfam family: Bacterial small subunit ribosomal RNA
Source: RNAcentral